GCACCACAAGGGGUGAAGCCUGCGGUUCAAUUGGACUCAACGCCGGAAAACUUACCAGGGGAGACAGCAGUAUGACGGUCAGGUUGACGACCUUACCUAACGAGCUGAGAGGAGGUGCAUGGCCGUCGCCAGUUCGUGCCGUGAGGUMYCCYSYUAAGUCAGGCAACGAACGAGAUCCGCACCUUUAUUUGCCACCAAGAAGUCACGACUUCGUUGGGAACACUAAAGGGACCGCCGUCGAUAAGACGGAGGAAGGAGCGGGCAAAGGCAGGUCAGUAUGCCCCGAAACCCCUGGGCUACACGCGGGCUGCAAUGGUAUGAACAAUGGGCUGUGACUCCGAAAGGAGAAACCAAUCCCGAAAUCAUAUCUCAGUUGGAAUUGUCGGCUGUAACCCGCCGUCAUGAACGCGGAAUCCCUAGUAAUCGUGUGUCAUCAUCGCACGGUGAAUACGUCUCUGCUCCUUGCACACACCGCCCGUCGCUCCAUCCGAGUGUGCUAAAAAUGAGGUUUGGUCAAUUUGGUCAUAUCGAGUUUCUAGUAUGCGAGGAGGGA
RNAcentral lists this ribosomal RNA (553 nucleotides) under uncultured archaeon. RNAcentral describes it as "bacterial SSU rRNA". It matches the Rfam family "Archaeal small subunit ribosomal RNA", at positions 876 to 1427 of the family's 1478-position model. The record is from RNAcentral.